This 450-nucleotide ribosomal RNA is filed under the name Alexandrium margalefii. Its description in RNAcentral is "partial Eukaryotic large subunit ribosomal RNA". It matches the Rfam family "Eukaryotic large subunit ribosomal RNA", at positions 16 to 465 of the family's 3401-position model. Lineage: Eukaryota; Dinophyceae; Gonyaulacales; Pyrocystaceae. The record is from RNAcentral.
UAAGAUCACCCGCUGAACUUAAGCAUAUCAGUAAGCGGAGGAAAAGAAACUAACUAGGAUUGCCCCAGUAGCGGCGAGUGAACAGGCAAAAGCUCAAAGUGAAAAUCCGUUGCAUAAAGUAAUGGAAUUGUAAUCUAGAGAGGUGUUCGGAGGUGAUCGGGCGUGGAAUAAGUUCCUUGGAACAGGACGUCAUAGAGGGUGAUAACCCCGUAGUCGUCUACGUCACGGACCCAACGAGCAUUUUCGAAGAGUCGGGUUGUUUGGGAUUGCAGCCCUAAAUGGGAGAUAAACUUCUUCUAAAGCUAAAUAUUUAUGGGAAACCGAUAGCGAACAAGUACUGCGAAGGAAAGGUGAAAAGAACUUUGAAAAGAGGGUUAAAAGACUUGAAAUCGUUGAGAAGAAAGUGGUAGAAGAGUAAUCAUUUGUGUACGAUAUUCGGGUUGCUUGGAG